AAAAAAUAAGCUUUCACGUGUAGCCUAUUAAGAGAGCCGCACGCAAAAAAAUACACACUCUCUCUGCACUCCUACCCACUUUAAAUUUUUCCCUUUUUUCUCUUCUCUCCUCUCUCCUCUCUCCUCUCUAUCUCUCUAUCUCUUUUUCUUCUCUCCUCUCUAUCUCUUUUUCCCGUCCUCUCCUCUCCUCUCCUCCCGAGUCCCAACGGCGGCGGCGGGGGGCGUAGGUGGCGACGGUGGUGUGGCAACGGCGUGCGAGAUCCGGUGGGUGGUGGCCAACCCUCGCACGGAUCCGGCAGCGGCAGUGCGGCCGUAGGGGAACACGGAUCCGGCGGCCUCCCCCCUCCCCCCGGAUCCGGCUCCCCUCCCCUUCCUUCCCUCCCUAUAUCCGGCGGAGGGGAGGGGCGUCGGCAACGGUGCGGCCGGAGGGGAGCGCGGAGGCCGCCGCCAUCGACGAUGAGGGCGGGAGCAGCAUCCUCGGCUGCCGAGAACGACGAGGAGGAGGAGGAGGCCGACGAUGACGAUGAGGAGGCGGCGGCGGCGCCGGAUUCUAGGUUUUCAAUUUUUUGAAUUUUUUUCCGGAUUUUUGUUUUUUCGUGCGGGCAACAUAAGUACUUGCACCGAUUUUUACGUGCGGGUGCACCACCCAUUCACAAAAGUUAUGAUUUUUCCAUCACACGUGAAAAUUAAAUUUGACCACACGGAAAAAACCGUUCUCCUAGCAGUGGCAUGAGAGGCGGCGGUGAAUUACGCAGCGCCGGGACGGCCGGAAUUAUGGUUGAGAGAGUACGUGAUUGCUAGCGUAACGUGCGUGUGCGUGCGUACGAAACGCAUAUAAUGCGUUUUUGGUUUGGCCAUGCGACCGGCGCUGCGCUGCGUGUCCUGGCCUGGUGGUGGUGUACUGUGGGGGUUAAGCUAGAUAGCGGUAGCCAGCUAGGUAGCUGUGGGCGUGACGCGUGCGGCGCGUCGCACCGCCUGGCCGGGCUAAUCAGCAACCGAUCGAAGCAUGUAUACUACGCAUGGGUUGUAAGGCACUGUGCCGUGCGUGACUGUGCGUGCAUGCGCACUAGCUCGAUUGCUAGCUGCUGGGUGGUGGUGAGGGCCACCGCCGACAUGAUCGAUCGACAACGGAACAUGGAGUCAUGCAAAUUGCGCUCCCCCGUUCGUUCGUCUGCUGCCUAGCUAUAGCUUACCCUAUCAUCUCAUCCCAUCCGUAAGUUACCGCGAUCCAAUUUAGCCUCUCUCCUGAUUAAUUAAUUUCUCUUCGAUUCACUCACUACCUAAUUCUUCACUAAGAGCCUGAUUGAAGAAGCUUAAGAUUAUGAAAAGUAACUAAUUGGUAGUCACCUUUUGAGAAUUUGAGGAGUUUGAUUUUUUUCAUCUUUGUUUUAGUUUAUUUUCUGAAUUCUACAAUUAAAUCUUUUUAGAAUAUAAAAAAGUUAUUGUUUAAAGGUUUUUUUUGGGACAAGCUGUAACCAUUAGAAGCCCUAAAUUACGGUUACAUUCCUCCUAGUUAAACUUGUUUGGAGUACUGAGACUACGUGUUGGAACCAAAUCCAACGGGGAUCCAAUCACCGGGAAAGAGUGGUAUGGUUUCUCUCUUUCAUCUGCCCCCUCAUGGGGGGCGAGAUCUAGUUAUAUAGCACUUAGUACAAAGUUAUAGAAAAUUACAGCAGUAUUCCUCCUUAGCCUAUCUAGGGAUGGCAAUCGGGCACGACGGGCAUGGGUUGUGACUACCCAUCCCAGUGCCCGCGAGGUAAUUCUCGCCCGCGGGCAUGCCUAUUACCACAUGACGGGCAAGGAACACUGCCCAUGCCUGUCACCUGCGGGAGCCAUGUGCCUGCGGGCACACCCGUUUACCCGCCACAUGUUCAACCACAAUUCUCCACAAGCAGUGAGAUAGUUCAGCACUUCAACCAUACAAACAUUACAAGCUCAUCAAUUUAGGUGGUGGCUUUUAUACUGAAAUUAAAUUAGGGCUGGCGGCUGUGGAGGAAAGGGGAAGGAAAGGAAAGAAACCCUGGAAUUCUAGGUGGUGGCUUUUAUAUUGAAAUUAACUGAGGGUCCACAUGUCAGUUAGUGACUACUCAUGCCCGUGCCCGUUUGCCCGUUGGGUACAUGUUUUGACCCAACAAGAAACCCAUGGGUACUAAAUAGAGAACAAACCCAACUCUAUUAGGUUUUUACCUACAUGUAAAUGGGUAAACGAGUCAAAUUGCCCUCCCUAAGCCUACCCCUUGGUAGAAGCCAACAGGUGGCCCCUAGGUAGGGGUAGUGAGGUAAAACCCUAGGGGACAACGAAUGGAAUUGUAGCCAUUAGACUGCCAUCUCGAGGACUCCUAUGUUCCGCAGGGUGCACUUCUCGAGGCCAUGGCGUGAUAACGAGACGUCUCGGCCUCAACCCCACCUAUUGUGCGGAGGGUGUUAGGAGGUAGCUGAGCACAUCGAUCAAUGCGCCAUUAAAGCUCCCACGGGCGGCUUCCGUGGUUGGAUCUUUGGCUCCAUAGCCAGGGCCGGGGUCUUCGGAUGCCUUGCCUUGGACUCCUAUCCAGAGCCGCCGGAACCUACCAAAGCGCAUUGUGGCUUGGCACGUCCGGAGGCUCUCCGAAAGGCCUCUGAGAGAUUUGAUUUCCGAGGAGCAAGGUUACUCUAGGAAAUUAAUAGGGGGUACCGGUGAUCUCUCUUGUUCAAGUCGAAGCCACUCCCCCAACACUGCAUGCGACCGUGGUAUUAGGCAAAGGAGGGUGGAUGUGGAUUGGACAAACAUAUAUAGCUACGGUGGGGUGGCAUUAUAUUGUGGCAUCCAUGCAAGCAUACAUCCUCAUGUGUAGCCUAGCAUAGAUGAGCUAGCGCACGCAUGUGACAACUACUAACGGGUAAGGGUACCUAGCGAUCGAUCGUCGUUAGGUGGGUUUGUAUACACGGUGCCACAGAAUACGUACAGAUGCCUCAGAUUACUUGUUAGGUAAACAUUGUCCCAUCCCAGCAGUGAUACAUAUGUGCAGGAGCAGUAGCGACCUACUCCCUCUGUCCCAAAAAAAGACAAACCGUGGGUUCUUGUGCCAACGUUUGACUGUCCGUCUUAUAUGAAAUUUUUUUAUAAUUAGUAUUUUCGUUGUUGUUAGAUGAUAAAACAUGAUUAAUACUUUAUGUGUGACUUAUCUUUUUAAUUUUUUUCAUAAUUUUUUCAAAUAAAAUGAACGAUCAAACGUUGGACACGAAAACCAAGGUUUGUCUUUUUUUGGGACGGAGGGAUUAGCUAUUUCCUAUUAGCUUGAGGAAAGAUGCACGCAGAGUGACGUGCUAGGUAAUAAUAAUCUAGCUCGGUUACGAAUUUAUUGCUGGUACUGGUAUCGAUCGAACACAUCGAAAUUGAUCCAAAUUGGUACUAGCGAGUAGGCUGCAAUCACAUACUAGCAAUUAGGAGUACACUUGAUCAGAGAUCGAUGUAUGUAUUUAUGUGCAAAAACUUGAGAGUAGAUGCAAAUUUUCAACAAAUAUAAUUUCUUCAGAGAACGAGUAUAAAUCCAACAAUUAUUGAUUUGUCCAAACUGUUAAGACAUGAAUUUCCUUGAUUUUUCGCGACAUGCAUGGACCCAUGGGCGAGAUGCUGAGUUAUUCGUGGGGCGCAUGGUCCCGAUUUAACUUUGAGCCAGUGCAGAAUAUAAUGACGAAAAUUGGAGAAACUACUCGAAGCAACAAACUAUUUUUUCUUCCUCGCAAUAAAAAGCAAUAUUUUUUUCUAUACGAUUCCCUGUUAGUACUUUGGAACAUAUGUAAAUCCCAGGAAAAAGAAUCUGGAUUCACUGUACACCAACCCUGCUGAUUUGAACUCCGCUGGAUUUACUGUAGCUCGAGUGAUGUCGGCGUCCUCCAUAAAGUACAAACUACUUAAAAGCUAAGCAUAAUUUAGCAAGAAAAAAAACACUUUUUGACGAGCUUAAUUUCCAUGUUGACUCGGCAGGUUUCCUCAUGAAGUUUAAGGUGUUUCAUAUUCCUACACAAUUGCAUACCGGGAAAAAGAUGGACAAAAUAAAAAAGCGAGGAGAGAUAAGUAUAGAAGAGCUUCAGUGUGAACCGAUGAUGUCGUCUUGUUAGGCAGCAUGGUGGUCAUUAUCGGCCACUUACCGCCAAUUUACGGUCACUUUCCGCCUCCUAAUGAUUCUCGGCUUCGGGUUCAAUCGGAGCUCGCAACCAGGGACCUCUUUUCCCUGUUCCUUGAUUGAUUUGUAUCUGGCGCCCUGCGCGUGCGCGUUCUUAAUUCUCAGCCUAUCCACCCGCGCGAGUGGUGACUUGGCCUCGCUUAGUCUGCACUUUGCUGUCUAAUCCGGUUG
RNAcentral lists this long non-coding RNA (4334 nucleotides) under Oryza sativa (Asian cultivated rice). RNAcentral describes it as "long non-coding RNA (OSAT_LNC000823)". The stretch from base 3037 to 3242 matches the Rfam family "MIR812 microRNA precursor family". Lineage: Eukaryota; Viridiplantae; Streptophyta; Magnoliopsida; Poales; Poaceae. The record is from RNAcentral.